CGCUGUCGAUUCUCUGGGGCUUGGCUCUGCGUAAUGACAGAAUCAAGGGGGAACAGGCUUGCAGAAAAGUUGACAGAGCCCCAUCCUUUUCCCAGGUGGCGGUGGAAG
RNAcentral lists this small nuclear RNA (108 nucleotides) under Karenia brevis. Its description in RNAcentral is "partial Dictyostelium signal recognition particle". The record is from RNAcentral. Lineage: Eukaryota; Dinophyceae; Gymnodiniales; Kareniaceae.